This 254-nucleotide ribosomal RNA is filed under the name uncultured bacterium. Its description in RNAcentral is "partial 16S ribosomal RNA". It matches the Rfam family "Bacterial small subunit ribosomal RNA", at positions 99 to 353 of the family's 1533-position model. The record is from RNAcentral.
CGGACGGGUGGAGUAAUGUCUGGGAAACUGCCUGAUGGAGGGGGAUAACUACUGGAAACGGUAGCUAAUACCGCAUAACGUCGCAAGACCAAAGAGGGGGACCUUCGGGCCUCUUGCCAUCGGAUGUGCCCAGAUGGGAUUAGCUAGUAGGUGGGGUAACGGCUCACCUAGGCGACGAUCCCUAGCUGGUCUGAGAGGAUGACCAGCCACACUGGAACUGAGACACGGUCCAGACUCCUACGGGAGGCAGCAUG